AACGAACGCUGGCGGCAUGCCUAACACAUGCAAGUCGAACGAGCCCUUCGGGUCUAGUGGCGCCCGGCUUCGUAACGCGUGGGAACCUGCACUUAGGUUCGGCAUAACUCCCCGAAAGGGGUGCUAAUGCCGGAUAGUGUCUUCGACCCAAAGAUUUAUUGACUUUGGUUGGGCCCGCGUUGGAUUCGCUAGUUGGUACGGUAAUAGCAUAUUCCGGGGACGAUUCGUAGCUGGGUAGUGAGGAUGAUCAGCGACACUGGGACUGAGACGCGGCCCAGAAUCCUACGGGAGGCAGGAGAGGGGAACAUUGGAAAAUGGGCGAAAGCAUGAUCGAGCAAGGCUGGGUGAGUGAUGAAGGCCGGAGGGUUGUAAAGCUCUUGUAACCGGGAUGAUAAUGACAGUACCGGGAGAAUAAGCUCCGGCUAACUACGUG
RNAcentral lists this ribosomal RNA (433 nucleotides) under uncultured bacterium. RNAcentral's name for it is "partial 16S ribosomal RNA". It matches the Rfam family "Bacterial small subunit ribosomal RNA", at positions 29 to 507 of the family's 1533-position model. The record is from RNAcentral.